RNAcentral lists this ribosomal RNA (460 nucleotides) under uncultured bacterium. Its description in RNAcentral is "partial 16S ribosomal RNA". It matches the Rfam family "Bacterial small subunit ribosomal RNA", at positions 338 to 795 of the family's 1533-position model. The record is from RNAcentral.
CCUACGGGUGGCAGCAGUGAGGAAUAUUGGUCAAUGGACGAGAGUCUGAACCAGCCAAGUAGCGUGAAGGAUGACUGCCCUAUGGGUUGUAAACUUCUUUUAUAAAGGAAUAAAACGAGGCACGUGUGCCUUUUUGCAUGUACUUUAUGAAUAAGGAUCGGCUAACUCCGUGCCAGCAGCCGCGGUAAUACGGAGGAUCCGAGCGUUAUCCGGAUUUAUUGGGUUUAAAGGGAGCGUAGAUGGGUUGUUAAGUCAGUUGUGAAAGUUUGCGGCUCAACCGUAAAAUUGCAAUUGAUACUGGCAGUCGUGAGUACAGUUGAGGUAGGCGGAAUUCGUGGUGUAGCGGUGAAAUGCUGAGAUAUCACGAAGAACCCCGAGUGCGAAGGCAGCUUACUAAACUGUGACUGACAUUGAUGCUCGAAAGUGUGGGUAUCAAACAGGAUUAGAUACCCGGGUAGUC